UACGUAGGGGGCUAGCGUUAUCCGGAAUUACUGGGCGUAAAGGGUGCGUAGGUGGUUUUUUAAGUCAGGAGUGAAAGGCUACGGCUCAACCGUAGUAAGCUUUUGAAACUGAAGAACUUGAGUGCAGGAGAGGAGAGUAGAAUUCCUAGUGUAGCGGUGAAAUGCGUAGAUAUUAGGAGGAAUACCAGUAGCGAAGGCGGCUCUCUGGACUGUAACUGACACUGAGGCACGAAAGCGUGGGGAGCAAACAGG
This 252-nucleotide ribosomal RNA is filed under the name uncultured bacterium. Its description in RNAcentral is "partial 16S ribosomal RNA". It matches the Rfam family "Bacterial small subunit ribosomal RNA", at positions 524 to 776 of the family's 1533-position model. The record is from RNAcentral.